RNAcentral lists this long non-coding RNA (5155 nucleotides) under Sus scrofa (pig). RNAcentral's name for it is "lncRNA (ENSSSCG00035056370.1)". The record is from RNAcentral. Lineage: Eukaryota; Metazoa; Chordata; Mammalia; Artiodactyla; Suidae.
AGAACAACCCUCUCUCUCCAGCAGAGAGUGUCACCUCCUGUCUUGGGAUCUUCAGGCUCUGCUAACUGGACCUCACCCUGCCUGCAGGAUCACAUUGCAAAGCUUUCACCCUUCCCCACCUUGCCUGGGGGUAAAUUUCUUCUGCGGAAUCUCAGAAAAUCAAAUUCCAUCCUAAGACUAUUUCACCAAGUAUUUCCUUAAGGAGCUGUGCUGGUGACACUGAAAUUACUUGAAACAAUUCUCAUUUCACAUGUUAGAAAAAUGAUAGUAUAUCACUCUAAGAUGUACACUGUAUUACUACUAGAUUAUGUUAUGUACAGUGAUAGUCUAGAAAAUAAAACUAGCAAGUAAUAAAACAUCUAAACGGAUUAAAAGGCACACUUCUGAAAAAAUAAUCAGGGAACAAUGCCUUUUAAAAUUAGCUCUACUAUUAGCUAAGAUUAAAUUUUGACAGCUGGAAAACAUUUUUCCCCUAGGAAACUUUAAAUUUUCCAUAUAAUUAGUACUCCAAAAAGGGGGUGAAAGAACAAUUACUUAUGGGGGUCUCAGAGUCUCACUCAUUCUGUAGUUAAACACAGUGGAGAAUUAAAAGAAAAGUAAUCACUUUGGAUUUACUAUAUUUGUCUUCUAUUUGCCUUUCACCUCUAUUUAUACAUAUAUCUCUAACUAUUGAACUAAUGGAAUUUUCAUUGUUUGCUGUUGCCAGAUGUAUUUAAAUCUCUCUUUUACUAACCCUGGACUGUUUCCGCUGUAUUGGAUCAUGGGGUGGGCAGAAAAGGAAAAAACACACAACUACGAUUCAGAAUAUGUUGAUGUUUCUAUAUUAACUCUAAUUUCAAAGUGUUACUUCUAUUUGUCUGGUAUCCCUCUGCAAGCUUGUUCGAGGAGGGUGUGAUAUUAAGACAACUGUGUAUAAAGAAAAAUAACAAAGGUUUCCCAAAUGAGUAUAUCAGAUUAUUAAACAGAGAAAGUGUGUGUUAAAGAAUUUCCAGAAUCAAACACUGAAAUGUUGAGUUGAAACAUCUGUUAAUGCUUCUUUCAACAGUACAGACUGUCCUGGACAAUUAAGAAACUAGUAUCUCCUUAAUAAGUUGUUGGUAUAGACAUAUGAAAAAUUUGUUGCUAAGAAAGAUCAGAUGUUAGAUUUGGAUUCAAAUUAUAUUGACUGACAUAAUUCUAAUCUAUUUUCUCACCUAAAAUGAAAUUAUACUCUGCAAAAUGUCCUUCAAUGGAGAAAGCCUGUACUUAAUCACCCAUAAACUGACACAUUAAUGAUGGACUAUCAACUCAUUCUGAGUAAUUCCUUCAUAAUUUUUUACUCAGUUUUUCCACAAAUUUCUCCAAAUAAUGGAAACUUCAAUUAAGUCUUAUUUUUGUGAUUCUUUAAAAAUAUUAUGGCUGGCUUCCUAUCUUCUGUCAUUUAUUAAUUGUACUGAGUUCCCUGGCAUGUUUGUAGAAAUGGAUAGUGUUUUUAGAAUGUGACUUUGUAAAUAGCCAUUAAAUAACUAGGGGAGGAAAUGGAAAGAACACAUUAAAUGCCUAAUCCAAUGCCAGGGGGUAGUAACAAAAAUUAAAAUAGCAUUAUUUUUAAUUUAGAUAAUUUUCUUAGGAGGUAUUAUAGUAAUAUCAUAUUUAUAAUAACAAAGUCCUCAAAAUCUCUAGUCUUUAAUUUCUAGCCAAAACCCCAUAAUUUUCUUGCAUAAUUUAAUGUAUUUUUUGUAACUAUACUAGAGUAUCAUUUAGAAUCUUUAUUUUUAAAAAAUACUGUGGAAAAACAUAAGACAAUGAAUAUAGAGGGUUAUUAGGCAAAGAUAAUAUUUGAGAAAAUAAUUGGAAGUUUAAAACAAGAAUUCAUAUUAUUAUAUUCUAUAGUUAAUUUUCUUUAAUGGUAAGAGGGUAUCAGAGGAUCAAUGCAUGCUUUCAGCCAUAAAGAAUUAUUUUUCUGAAUGUUAUUACCCUAUAGGAUCAUAAAAUCAAUGCACAGACUCUAAUGCCAGUUCUAAAUAUGCAAAAUAAAAUAUAGAAUUGAAAAACUACAGUGACUAAUGUGAUCUGAACUAUACUUUACCUACAACAUUCAGUUAUCUUUAAGAACAUGUUUUGGUUAUUGCUACAAGUUCUUUUUUUCCCAAUAUAUCUUGGCACACACCAAAAUAUCACUUUGUUAGUUAAAAUGUGUAAAUUUUUAGAACAUAUGAGUAUUCACUCACUUAGAAAAAAAGGAAUAACAGAAAAUUAAAAAGAAAUUAGAACUAGGUCUGUAAUUUUUUAAAUUAUGUUAAAUGAAUGGUCAAGAUGUAUGUACUUUACUCACUGGUGAUGGCUAGGACAUACUGAAGUGUAAAUAAGUCAACAGCCUAGCGUACUUAUGACAACCUUCACAUUUACUUGGACAUAUUUUGCCAUUAUUUUAUGCAUAACACAUAUUUACUGCAGUGAAAAAUUCAAAAUAAUAUUAAGACAAGAUGUUUACCUUAUAAACUUAUGUUAAUAUGGAAGAAUUCUUUGGUAAACAUGUAAAAACUAAUCAGAAUUCAGUUAAUAGUAUUACUACAUCUUUCUGACUUAGAUCAUAUUUGUGACCAUUAUCACAAUAUUUUGCUUUCAACCCUUAUCUCCAUGGUUAAAAUUUGUUAGUUACUUAUUUUUUAAGAAUUGCUUUAGGGACUGCUAUAGAAAAAGAACAAAAUAAUUUUUUAAAGAUCAAACUAUACAUACACUAAACAAAACUUAUUUCAUAUUCCAUGUAUGACUUUGAACACAGCUUCAAAACGUAAUUCUUUGGAGUUAUAAUGACUAUGGUGUCAACAUUUCAGACAACAAAUAUGUUUAAAGAGGAUUAUUUGAAGUCAUUCGCUUUAAUUUUAUCUUUGUUUAGGAUUCAGAGAAGCUUUUAACCCAUAAACAUAAGACGUAUCAUUGCAACGAUGUUAAUGAAAGACACUCAAGGAGUCAAUUUUGUAGCACCUCUUAGUUCUUGAUCAGGCUACCAGAUAAUAUUAGUUAAGAUGGAAAAUCAGUAUACAACUAUUUAAAAUAUUUGUCUAUGUCUGAUUUUGAAGUCCAUGCAUGAACUAUAUAAACAUUUAUAAUUUAUCAGGAAAGUUCUUUCUAUUAAAGUGCUUCUACCAUGCUGCAUUAUUAAGUUCAAGAAAACCUCUCAUUUAAUAUCAGAAAAUGUUCUAAUGCAAUUAGGUGGAAGAUAAAAAUAUACCAGAAACUCAAAGUCUGUAUAUUAACAAGGUAUUUUGUUCAUUUUCUCAUUUACUCACAUGGACAACCAUUCCUGCCCCAAUUCUUUCAUCAAGAGUAGUUAUACAACUCAAAGUAAGUAGAUAGUUUUCACACCUUAAUUUUAAUUUACCUACUUAUAAAUUUGUUCAUAAUUAUGAAGCUAGAAAUUAAUGUAAAAUUGAAGAAAUAAUAUACAUUUAAUUAUAAAAUUCAGAAUAUAAAUAUUGAGGUAGUGUGAUUUGAGAAAAAGAACAUAUGAUUAGAUAUAUGAUAAUUAAAUCAACAAACCUUUUUAAAUAAUAGGAAAUACACUUUAAACAUCCUACUGCCAUACCAAUUUAAACAAUUUAAAUUUUCAUCCUCAAUAAAUCCAGAUUAUUCUCAUGUCCAAGUAAGAUUACAAUAUUGUUCAUUAAAUCAGAUUAGAGCAAAUAAUCUCUGCAUUUUUCCAUAUUUGAAUAAACUUAGUCAAAUUUUUUAAUUAAAUAUAUUAUUUUACAAAAAAAUGAAAAAUUUAAUUUUAAAGACAGUAAAAUUCUUAUUAAAAAAAUAAAAUGGAAUCAUUGACGGUGAACUGAGUUAGGAUCUAUGUUUAUUAGGUUACUAGUAUUAUUAUCAGAUUAUAAGUUGCAAAUAUUUUCCUAGAACAUGCUUCUUCCUUUAUUUCCCUUUAAAUUAAUUUGUUUACUUACAAGAGAUGGUAUUAUACAAAACUAACACACCAAUAUAUUAUUGUUUGCAAAAGUGGUCAAAAAGAUAUAUUUACUUUUUAAAUGUAAAACAAGUCUUAAUCUUUUUCUUCCUUCAUCAUUUAAUUAACUGUUUCAUGUUUUCUACAUUACUACCAAUUAAAAGGACAAAAAACUGAUCUCAACCCAAUAUAAAUUUAAAUAAAUAAUUACCCAACUCAACCGUGCAGUAGUGAGGUUACAUUUUAUUGAGGUUCUUGGAUGGAGCUCAAUUUUCAAUGAAUAAGAGAAAUCCUAUUCAUUUUAACUUAGAACAUAUUUUUAAUUAAAAAUGUUAAUACGGCAUAAGCUUUUGUAUAAAUCUGUUGUUAUUUCUCUAUUCAUAAAACCACAGUGACUUGUGAGCAUGUCAUUUGGUUUAUUAAAUGGCAGUGAUAUAAUGAAAGAACAGCUAGUUGGUUGACAAGGUGCCCCUCUCCUUCCAGUUUAGUCAGCUGGAAGGUCAUUAGCAUAUUCAUGAGCAUACAAGCUUGGUUUUAUCAAACAAAACUAAGGUAAAUUUGUCUUAUAUCCAAGCACUGAUUUCACACAUUUUUCAAAUAAGUAUUAAUUUGAACUCAUAACCAUACGUUAACCUGAGACCAAUUAUUAUGCAGAUAUUUGUGCAUGAACCUCAAUCUUGCUUCUCUUCCAAUAAUAUGAAGGGAAUAUUGGAACUUUGGUAAGUACUAUAUACAAAUAAAAAAUGUUUUAACCAAAAAUAAGGAGGAUUAAACCUAUGGGAAAAAAACACCAUCAAUGCGAAACUCGAUUUUUAAAAACUUCUGCUAUUUUCAAAUAUGAGGCAAAAUAGGAGAUUCGUUAAUGCAAGUCUAGUAUUAGGGUAACAUUUAAAUAUUUUGUUAAUCAAUUUACUAUGUCUUCCUAAAAAUUUUAUGUUCAUUGAAAUGUUUUGGUUUUAAAACUUUUUUUAGGACAUGACAAUAAAUGUUAUUAGCUAAGACAACAAAUAGAACUUAUGGAUUUGUGUUUUAGAAAUUUAUAUAUAGCCGCUGGUGCAGCCCUAAAAAGCCAAAAAAGACUGUUAAAAUAGAUAACAAGGACCUACUGUAUAGCACAAGGAGGUGUACUCAAUGUUCUGUAGUAACCUAUAUGAGAAAAUAGAAUGAAUAUAUUUAUAUGUAUAACUGAUUCACUUUGCUGUACACCUGAAGCUAAUAUAUUCUAAAUCA